AAUUCUCCACAAUGUGAAAAUACGAAGUUACGUAUAUAUUAUGACAGCUGUGGUUACGUAUACGUCGACAUUAAUAAUCUGUCAAAACCGUAAACACAUUAUUUUCAUAACGCAAUUUUGCGAUAGUUCCUAUUAGUUGAAAAAAAUUAAAUUUUUGUGUGCAAACUGAAACGCAAAAUGGUUUAGUGCGAUGUAUGCCAGCAGAAUAUUUCGGGAAACAUUUACAAGCACAAAAGAGUUGAGCACAGUUGGGAUCGAGGUGGUAUUAAAUUGAUUAAACAGGAAGAUAAAACUCUGAUCGAAGCUAUACAAAACGAAAAAACAUUCGUUGGACCUUCGCUGUUAUAUUUGAAACGUCUCGCAAAUUAUGCGGUAACACAAAAUUUUCAAGCCACAUUUUUUGGAGUCGACUCACCAAAACCAGAACUUGUCAUUACAACGGGUACAAUUGCAGAGAAUGAAAAUACAAUCCCGGAGAUGUCUGAUGUUGAUACACCUGAGCAUUAGUUCUCUCGCAAAAUAUGCGUAAAUUACUUACUUUUAUGUUUAAUUAAAUAAAUAUAAAUGAUUGGAAAAUGUCUCUUAGCUACAUAUUGAUAUCAAACAAAAAUAAAAACACUAUACUACUAAAACA
Molecule: long non-coding RNA, 634 nt
Organism: Contarinia nasturtii (swede midge)
Lineage: Eukaryota; Metazoa; Arthropoda; Insecta; Diptera; Cecidomyiidae
Exons: 2
Source: RefSeq, a predicted model, not a curated record